This 650-nucleotide ribosomal RNA is filed under the name uncultured Pseudomonadota bacterium. RNAcentral's name for it is "bacterial SSU rRNA". It matches the Rfam family "Bacterial small subunit ribosomal RNA", at positions 72 to 715 of the family's 1533-position model. Lineage: Bacteria; Pseudomonadati; Pseudomonadota. The record is from RNAcentral.
GAAGCAGCUUGCUGCUUCGCUGACGAGUGGCGGACGGGUGAGUAAUGUCUGGGAAACUGCCUGAUGGAGGGGGAUAACUACUGGAAACGGUAGCUAAUACCGCAUAAUGUCGCAAGACCAAAGAGGGGGACCUUCGGGCCUCUUGCCAUCGGAUGUGCCCAGAUGGGAUUAGCUAGUAGGUGGGGUAACGGCUCACCUAGGCGACGAUCCCUAGCUGGUCUGAGAGGAUGACCAGCCACACUGGAACUGAGACACGGUCCAGACUCCUACGGGAGGCAGCAGUGGGGAAUAUUGCACAAUGGGCGCAAGCCUGAUGCAGCCAUGCCGCGUGUAUGAAGAAGGCCUUCGGGUUGUAAAGUACUUUCAGCGGGGAGGAAGGCGAUAAGGUUAAUAACCUUGUCGAUUGACGUUACCCGCAGAAGAAGCACCGGCUAACUCCGUGCCAGCAGCCGCGGUAAUACGGAGGGUGCAAGCGUUAAUCGGAAUUACUGGGCGUAAAGCGCACGCAGGCGGUCUGUCAAGUCGGAUGUGAAAUCCCCGGGCUCAACCUGGGAACUGCAUUCGAAACUGGCAGGCUAGAGUCUUGUAGAGGGGGGUAGAAUUCCAGGUGUAGCGGUGAAAUGCGUAGAGAUCUGGAGGAAUACCGGUGG